CAGAGAAAGUUAAUGCCGAAGAUAUCAUUCGGUUCCACACUAAAACUGAGGUUUGACACGUGUGAUUUGAGGCUAGAGCUUGAGGACUCAACUCUGAAGACUGUUUCUGAAUUCACUGACCUGAAAUAAAACUUGUAGACCUUUCCUGCAGUCUCUGAGGAGAUGGACAGCUCUUCUUCUUCUGGACGAUCUCCGUCUCCUACUGGGACUGUCUUCUUACCUCCUCCUAUCAUA
This is a long non-coding RNA of Oncorhynchus gorbuscha (pink salmon), 234 nucleotides long. RefSeq lists it as uncharacterized. The record is from RefSeq and is a predicted model, not a curated record. Lineage: Eukaryota; Metazoa; Chordata; Actinopteri; Salmoniformes; Salmonidae. The transcript has 3 exons.